RNAcentral lists this ribosomal RNA (253 nucleotides) under uncultured bacterium. Its description in RNAcentral is "partial 16S ribosomal RNA". It matches the Rfam family "Bacterial small subunit ribosomal RNA", at positions 524 to 776 of the family's 1533-position model. The record is from RNAcentral.
UACAGAGGUCUCAAGCGUUGUUCGGAUUCAUUGGGCGUAAAGGGUGCGUAGGCGGCUCGGUAAGUCGGGUGUGAAAUCUCGGAGCUUAACUCCGAAACUGCAUUCGAUACUGCCGUGCUUGAGGACUGGAGAGGAGACUGGAAUUUACGGUGUAGCGGUGAAAUGCGUAGAUAUCGUAAGGAAGACCAGUGGCGAAGGCGGGUCUCUGGGCAGUUCCUGACGCUGAGGCACGAAGGUCAGGGGAGCAAACGGG